Molecule: ribosomal RNA, 845 nt
Filed under: Rhizophagus intraradices
Lineage: Eukaryota; Fungi; Glomeromycota; Glomeromycetes; Glomerales; Glomeraceae
Description: eukaryotic LSU rRNA
Rfam family: Eukaryotic large subunit ribosomal RNA
Source: RNAcentral
AUUUGACCUCAAAUCAGGUAGGAGUACCCGCUGAACUUAAGCAUAUCAAUAAGCGGAGGAAAAGAAAAUAACAAUGAUUCCCCUAGUAACUGCGAGUGAAGAGGGACAAGCUCAAAUUUUAAAUCUGUUAGGUUUACCUAACCGAGUUGUAAUUUGAAGAGGCGUUUUCUGUGUUUUUGAUCAGCCCAAGUCCUUUGGGAUAGGGCAUCAUGGAGGGUGAGAAUCCCGUUCGGUUGAUCAGAUUCGCUUUACGAUACGUCAUCUAAGAGUCAAGUUGUUUGGGAUUGCAGCUUAAAAUGGGAGGUAAAUUUCUCCUAAGGCUAAAUAACGGCGAGAGACCGAUAGCGAACAAGUACCGUGAGGGAAAGAUGAAAAGAACUUUGAAAAGAGAGUUAAACAGUACGUGAAAUUGUUGAAAGGGAAACGAUUGAAGCCAGUCGUACCUUCGGGUAAUCAGCCUUUCGGGUGCGAUUCUGUGGAGCGUGGGGAGUUAAACGCCUUCAUGCCUGCAUAUUCGUGCACUUUGGGUGUACUUGCCCGUGUGGUAGGUUAACAUCAAUUUCGGAUGUCAUAAAAUGGCUGGAGGAAUGUAGCUUCGGUCUCGUACUGAAGUGUUAUAGCCUUUGGUAGAUGUGAUGACCGGGAUUGAGGAUUGCAACGAAUACCUUUUGGGCUAUCCGUCUGAUCUCUGAAAGUUGCUCUGGUGCCGAAAGCUUGCUUACGGUUAUCAAAGUUGACGUUCAAAAGGUUAGAACGGGUUAAAUUCGUUAAGGAUGUUGACGUAAUGGCUUUAAACGACCCGUCUUGAAACACGGACCAAGGAGUCUAACAUAUAUGCGAGUGUU